CCGCGGCCUCGGGCAAUGCUGCCACCCCGGGAGCACGGCGCCCGCAUCUGGAUCUGCAGCUGAGGGGCGACGGGGUGCUCAGAGAUGGGGUGGAGAGGGGACAGCCAGAAACGCGCGUCCUCAAACUGAGCCGCAGCGCCCGCCACGCCGGGCCGUCACCUUGCCAAAUCCUGUUUACACCCAGAGAGGCUGGGACAGCGUUUCAACUAAACAAAGUAUUCACAACUGUGAAAGGAUGUCGAGCUAGAAUGGAAAUCUCAUGCAUGUGCCCUGGAAAGAACAGAACUUCGAACUUAAGAACUCAGAGACUGAUUUGUCCUAAAGGCUGAUGUGCAGAAGACUCAGACUUACCUCCUGACCAAUGAAAAAGCGCCAAGAGUCUCUCCCCAUCCUCAGGCCAAUGAACGUACUGCUUGGACUCCAACCAGACUCCCCCUCUUUGCUCUCCCUACCCAUAAAUACAGCCCACCCCCACCCUCAGCACACUUGCCUGUAGCUUGCUGUGGUUUGCAUUUCCUCAAAUGGCAAUUCCUGUGCUCUUCCUGAAUAAUCUCAAUUUCUGAUAGUUCAAGCUUGCCUCAGUUUACCUCUUUAUUUAGGUUGACACAACUUGCUGAGGUAAGAAAACCACAAUUAGGAAAGAAAAGGCUUGGAGAGUAGGAAUUGAAGGGAGCGGGUUGGCCCCUGGAGGUUAGUUUUGGCUUAUUAAUACUAUAGAAUAGUAUGCAGCUGUCACAAAGAAUGACCUUCAUACAAAUGUGAUAGCAUACAUAGAUCCCUAGGAAAUGCUGCUGAAUGAACCCUGUAGAGUACAAUACCAUAUAGGUUAAAAGCAAACUCACUAGUGGUGCAGUGGUUAAGACUCUGAGCUCCCCAUGCAGGGGGCCGGGGUUCGAUCUCUGGUAAGGGAACUAGAUCCCACAUGCAUGCCCCAAUGAAGAGUUUGCAUGCCACAACUAAGGAGCCCGUGUGCUGCAACUUAGGAGCCUGCCUGUCACAACUAAGACCCAGCACAAUCUACAUAAAUAAAUAUUUUAAAAAAACAAACUCACACUGACAUAUAAGCACACUUCUCUAUGUGUUCAAUCAAUGCAUAUAAAAAUGCAAAAGCCAGAGAAAGAUUUAGAGAGAUACUCCUAAAUGCAGUUGUGUCUCCCUGGGCUUCCUAGAGAGUAAAACUUCUUUUUCUCAUUUUUAUAUUCCCAAAGGCUCACUCAAGGAAAGUUCUCAAGAAAUACUAGUAGUCCUUUCUACCUGCAAACUCCUGUCUCUAAUCUGUUCAUACCUGUCUCCACGACCAUCACCUCUUGCCCAGGCUACUAACAACAACAUCCCUACUGGUCUCUCUGCUUUCGCCCUUGCUCUACCAUGGUCCCCCCUUCUCAGUAGAGUCUUAAAACUGUAAAUGCAAACCUGAUCCCACAACCCCCUGCUUGAAACCCUCCACUGGCUUCUCCUAACAUUGAAAGUACAGUCUCAACCCCAUAACCUGAUUGGCAAGGCCUCCCUCUCCAUGCACUUCUCCCAGGUGUGUGACUAAUUCCAAGAAGCUUUUGCCUGCCUCACUGCUUUUGCAUUUGCCAUCUUGCAUUUGCCGUCACCUUCCCCCAGACAGCAUGGCUGGCCCCUAUUCAUCUAGGACCCCUUGCCUUCCCAUCUAAGAAAGGAAGGUUUGGGACCAUCGAUUGCUACUCCAACAUAUAGUACCCGUUUGCCAUAUUCUUUCCUACCCAGCUUCUGUAAUACAGCAACACCCUGAAGCCCACGGGUGGAUUGAAAUUGUCUCCACUAAGCCCCACUGAGACUCCAAGGACUAAGUCUGGACCAGGUGGUAUCAGAGCAGUUUUGGCCCAGUGUGUGGCCAAUGGCUGGCAUCCUUCCCUCCUGGCACAGCCACCUGCUUUUAGAGACAACAGCUCAACAUAUCACUCCUUUCGCAUCAACCAGCAAGGUUCCUACGAUGAUCUCCACUUCACCGCUGGCAAAAUCAGGGUCCAAAAUGGCUAGAUAACCUAAGAGCACCAGCAAGCCAGCAGCAAGUUGGGAUUCGAGUCCAGCCUGCCUGCUCCUAAGCCCUUGCUCCUUCCGCUCAGCCGCGUGGACUUCCCGUGGGUUGCACAUCCAGCAAGCGCCAGCUUCCACACAAUGAGGCCUGGACACACGUGUUCAUGUUCAUGUUCAUUGUAAUGCUGAUCAUUGUAGCAAACAAAACAAAGCAAAAGCCACCUCUUCCGUCAUGAUAGGUACAUGCUUAAAUAAUCUGUGUUACACGUUUAUGUUUACAGUGAAAUAUAAUGCAGUGGUUUAAAAAAAUGGGGUGGGGGAAUUCCUUGGCAGUCCAGUGGUUAGGGCUCCUCGCUCUUGCUGCCAAAGACCUGGGUUUGAUCCCUGGUCAGGGAACUAAAAUCUCACAAGCCACGCAGCAUGGCCAAAAAAAAAAAAAAAAAAAGAAAAGAGAAAAAGAAAAAAGAAAAAAAAAAGAGAGAAAAAAAAGGAAAAAGAAUGGGGUAGGUUGAUAGGUACUGACCUAAGAAACCAUCACCCCAUAUUAGACCCCAUGUUAGUAAAUGAUGGGAAACAUUUACAGAAUAAUAUUAUGAUUAUGUUGCCACAUUACUUUUUUAAAAAUACAGAAAACAAGACUUAAUGGAGUCUACAAAUGCAUUCCUAUAUAAUAAUUCAUCAGGCUAUACACUUAGAAUUUCUGCAACUGACUGUAAGCAAAUUA
Hippopotamus amphibius kiboko is the source of this 2728-nucleotide long non-coding RNA. RefSeq lists it as uncharacterized. Lineage: Eukaryota; Metazoa; Chordata; Mammalia; Artiodactyla; Hippopotamidae. The record is from RefSeq and is a predicted model, not a curated record. The transcript has 3 exons.